GAGACCAACUCCAACGGCAGCCUC
This 24-nucleotide non-coding RNA is filed under the name Arabidopsis thaliana (thale cress). Lineage: Eukaryota; Viridiplantae; Streptophyta; Magnoliopsida; Brassicales; Brassicaceae. The record is from RNAcentral.